Phyllostomus hastatus (greater spear-nosed bat) is the source of this 106-nucleotide small nuclear RNA. Lineage: Eukaryota; Metazoa; Chordata; Mammalia; Chiroptera; Phyllostomidae. The record is from RefSeq and is a predicted model, not a curated record.
GUGCUUGCUUUGGCAGCACAUAUACUAAGACUAGAAUGACACAGAGAAAAUUAGCAUGGCCCUUGAGCAAGGAUGACUGCAGUUUCGUGAAGCAGUCCAUAUUUUU